AGCUCCAAUAGCGUAUAUUAAAGUUGUUGCAGUUAAAAGCUCGUAGUUGGAUUUCUGGUGGAGGUGAUCGGUCGGCCUCGCAAGGGGUCUGCACCUGUAUCGUCCUUUGCCAUCCUUCAGGAAGGCGCUUCUUGUAUUAACUUACGGGUUGCGAACUCCUGAUCUUUUACUGUGAAAAAUUAGAGUGUUCAAAGCAGGCUUAGGCCGUUGAAUACAUUAGCAUGGAAUAAUGAGAUAGGGCCUUGGUGGUUUUCUAUUUUGUUGGUUUGCACGCCAAGGUAAUGAUUAAUAGGGAUAGUUGGGGGUAUUCGUAUUCAAUUGUCAGAGGUGAAAUUCUUGGAUUUAUGGAAGACGAACUACUGCGAAAGCAUUUACCAAGGAUGUUUUCA
RNAcentral lists this ribosomal RNA (389 nucleotides) under uncultured eukaryote. RNAcentral's name for it is "SSU rRNA". It matches the Rfam family "Eukaryotic small subunit ribosomal RNA", at positions 587 to 972 of the family's 1831-position model. The record is from RNAcentral.